This 69-nucleotide microRNA precursor is filed under the name Microtus ochrogaster (prairie vole). Its description in RNAcentral is "miRNA (ENSMOCG00000007002.1)". Lineage: Eukaryota; Metazoa; Chordata; Mammalia; Rodentia; Cricetidae. The record is from RNAcentral.
CCAUGUGUGGGAGUUCAGGACUUGGGAACCUGGAUGAUUACUUACCUGGUCUCUGACCUGGAUUCCCAG